This 328-nucleotide ribosomal RNA is filed under the name uncultured eukaryote. RNAcentral describes it as "partial 18S ribosomal RNA". It matches the Rfam family "Eukaryotic small subunit ribosomal RNA", at positions 1470 to 1796 of the family's 1831-position model. The record is from RNAcentral.
CCCUUAGAUGUCCUGGGCCGCACGCGCGCUACACUGAUGCAUGCAACGAGUUUAUAACCUUGGCCUGAAAGGUCUGGGUAAUCUUUUGAACGUGCAUCGUGAUAGGGAUAGAUUAUUGCAAUUGUUAAUCUUGAACGAGGAAUUCCUAGUAAACGCGAGUCAUCAGCUCGCAUUGAUUACGUCCCUGCCCUUUGUACACACCGCCCGUCGCACCUACCGAUUGAAUGGUUCGGUGAAGAUCUCGGACUUCGAUAUUUAUUCUUUAUUGAGUUUAUAUAGUGGGAAGUUAUCUAAACCUCAUCAUUUAGAGGAAGGUGAAGUCGUAACA